CGUGUUCGCUCAAAACCAUGACAAUUGCAGUUUUAUUGUCUCCACUCAGGAAAAUGUGUGUCUGGAUCAUCUUGUGGCCCGAAUGGGGAGAAAAGAGUUACAUUCCUGCAGAGAGUGGCCCGCUGAGCUUAUGGGAAAGGCUGCAAGAAAAUCCCCAAACCAAGGUGUCCUGAAUUGUCUUUAAAAAGUGAUCGAGAUUAUGUUUUCAAUUUUGAAUAUACUGCUGAACCCCUGACAUGCAGAGCAAUCUAUCUGGACUGAAAACUUGGCCAGGGAUGGUCUAUGCCAAGCAGUGAAG
RNAcentral lists this long non-coding RNA (298 nucleotides) under Gorilla gorilla gorilla (western lowland gorilla). RNAcentral describes it as "lncRNA (ENSGGOG00000044568.1)". Lineage: Eukaryota; Metazoa; Chordata; Mammalia; Primates; Hominidae. The record is from RNAcentral.